Long non-coding RNA from Lucilia cuprina (Australian sheep blowfly), 1694 nucleotides. RefSeq lists it as uncharacterized. The transcript has 3 exons. The record is from RefSeq and is a predicted model, not a curated record. NCBI's taxonomy places the organism in Eukaryota, Metazoa, Arthropoda, Insecta, Diptera, Calliphoridae.
CGAGAGUAUAAUUAAUUCAUAAUAAAAUAUAUUAAAUUAAAUAUAUAUUUAUCUAGAUCUAAACUUCAUAACUUACUAAGAUAUAUAGUGGCAACAGGUUGGAUCUAACACUGUUUUAUUCUGCAAAACGGUCCCAUUCAUCACGGUUUAAAUCUUUCAACCAUUGCAUUAAUUUGAUAGACAGUCAACGUCGUUUCGAAACAGUGGUCCUAAGUAAGGCCAAAUCGGGUAGACCACUCAAGAAUAUUGUACGAAGUAGGUCUAAUAAGAAUUGAGGGAAGUGCGAAAAGUAUUACCGACUACUUCGUUACUUCGGAGUAACACCUUCAACAAUGAUUCCUAGUAGGAACGAGUGGAAUGAGUCCGAAGUUAUGCUUGAGGGGUAUGCAGUUUUAAAUGAUGGAUCUAAGAUGGAAUGUGCUACAGAGGCCGGAUUUUAUGUGGAUGAUAACAUAAGAGUGUCCUACAGACUUCCGGCAUUCCCACUACAAUCGAUUCAUCGCAACGGAACAACUCGGAGUUCAACGAACAACGACCAAGGAUUGUCAACCCAACCACACCGUGUCGCUGCUACAACAACAGACUUCCACACAAAUGUAGUCCAUCUGGCGCAGAUCUUGCCAUACAUCAUAAACAUUAAAGAUAUUAUUAAUACAUACAUUACCAGCUUGAUAACUAACUUGGUAACUGCAGAGGGAACCUGGCAUCAGAUUAUAGACAGUGAGGCUGUGUUGGUUACAGGGACAGUGUGAUAUCGUUAGAUAGGCUUCUGAACUUAAUCUUAUUAGUAGGGAUAGUUCUCUAAAACUCCCUAUCGUUAUUACUACAGACUUAUCUUUGAAAAACACUAUUUGAAAAUACUAUUAGGAAUGGAUAGGAAGAGUAUAAGGACUUUAGUAGGGGUUAAAAAUGGUUACUGGGCAACUGUUGCUUUUGUAGGUUGUGUGCGAAGAAAGAGGAACUGGAAACAAUAGGCAUAUCUUAGCCAUUUUCCCAGAUUACAGAGUCUAAGACUAAAAUAGCUAUUUAGAAGAUUCCACGAUAAACGUGAGAUGUAGCAGUAUGUGACUUUGGUUUAUUUCAGUUCAUUUCAAAGGGUAUACAACCCUUUGAAGUAAACUGAACACGGUUAUGGUUGCGAUUUUUUUUAUUUUUCCAAUAGGUGAUAUCUUCAACAAAAACCUGAGAGAUUUUAAGUUUCUUUAAACGUGCGAUACUAUUGUAUAAAUUUAGGAACAUAUUUAUUAUAAGCAACGUCGUUUCAAAGCGCUCAACCUAAUAGGUUUCAAAUAAUGCAAACCUGAUGCAACUAUUUCCUUCUACAACUUAAUCCUUUUCUUGUCUAAUAUAUAUCGCUUAAAAUUUACAUUAAUUGUAACUGUAAGAGACACAGCUAUGGCAUUGUUUGACUAUAAAUAUUCAUGCAUACAAAUAAAUCUAAUAAAUAAAUACAAAAUAAAACCAAAAUCAACAAUCAACAAUGUCUCUCAACAACUUGUUUUCAUUUUGUAUUUAUUAUUAUUUUUUUGUAGUUAGUUUUUGGUUGGGGGCAUAAAGGGAAGAAUAAUCGUUCGAAUAUUGCGACGACAACGACAGCAACGAAUGCGUGACCUUCAUUUCAUUUCAAUUCAAGUUGUUGCUGUUAAUAGCGCAAACGGCAACGUUACCGACAAUUUCUUCCAAAAGUUCCAGUA